This 320-nucleotide ribosomal RNA is filed under the name uncultured Prevotella sp. RNAcentral's name for it is "bacterial SSU rRNA". It matches the Rfam family "Bacterial small subunit ribosomal RNA", at positions 28 to 339 of the family's 1533-position model. The record is from RNAcentral. Lineage: Bacteria; Pseudomonadati; Bacteroidota; Bacteroidia; Bacteroidales; Prevotellaceae.
GAUGAACGCUAGCUACAGGCUUAACACAUGCAAGUCGAGGGGCAGCAUGGAGGUUGCUUGCAACCUCCGAUGGCGACCGGCGCACGGGUGAGUAACGCGUAUCCAACCUUCCCCUUAGUAGGGCAUAGCCCGGCGAAAGUCGGAUUAAUACUCUAUGUUCUCCUUUGCAGGCAUCUAACGAGGAGCAAAGAUUCAUCGGUAAGGGAUGGGGAUGCGUCUGAUUAGCUUGCCGGCGGGGUAACGGCCCACCGGGGCAACGAUCAGUAGGGGUUCUGAGAGGAAGGUCCCCCACAUUGGUACUGAGACACGGACCAAACUCC